This 727-nucleotide ribosomal RNA is filed under the name Bacillus cereus. RNAcentral describes it as "bacterial SSU rRNA". It matches the Rfam family "Bacterial small subunit ribosomal RNA", at positions 48 to 755 of the family's 1533-position model. The record is from RNAcentral. Lineage: Bacteria; Bacillati; Bacillota; Bacilli; Caryophanales; Bacillaceae.
CUAAUACAUGCAAGUCGAGCGAAUGGAUUAAGAGCUUGCUCUUAUGAAGUUAGCGGCGGACGGGUGAGUAACACGUGGGUAACCUGCCCAUAAGACUGGGAUAACUCCGGGAAACCGGGGCUAAUACCGGAUAACAUUUUGAACCGCAUGGUUCGAAAUUGAAAGGCGGCUUCGGCUGUCACUUAUGGAUGGACCCGCGUCGCAUUAGCUAGUUGGUGAGGUAACGGCUCACCAAGGCAACGAUGCGUAGCCGACCUGAGAGGGUGAUCGGCCACACUGGGACUGAGACACGGCCCAGACUCCUACGGGAGGCAGCAGUAGGGAAUCUUCCGCAAUGGACGAAAGUCUGACGGAGCAACGCCGCGUGAGUGAUGAAGGCUUUCGGGUCGUAAAACUCUGUUGUUAGGGAAGAACAAGUGCUAGUUGAAUAAGCUGGCACCUUGACGGUACCUAACCAGAAAGCCACGGCUAACUACGUGCCAGCAGCCGCGGUAAUACGUAGGUGGCAAGCGUUAUCCGGAAUUAUUGGGCGUAAAGCGCGCGCAGGUGGUUUCUUAAGUCUGAUGUGAAAGCCCACGGCUCAACCGUGGAGGGUCAUUGGAAACUGGGAGACUUGAGUGCAGAAGAGGAAAGUGGAAUUCCAUGUGUAGCGGUGAAAUGCGUAGAGAUAUGGAGGAACACCAGUGGCGAAGGCGACUUUCUGGUCUGUAACUGACACUGAGGCGCG